RNAcentral lists this long non-coding RNA (236 nucleotides) under Elaeis guineensis (African oil palm). RNAcentral's name for it is "long non-coding RNA (EGUI_LNC053592)". The record is from RNAcentral. Lineage: Eukaryota; Viridiplantae; Streptophyta; Magnoliopsida; Arecales; Arecaceae.
CAGGGGAGAGGAAGUGAGACGACGCAAUUGGUGAAUAUGUUGUAAAAUGCAGUGACAGAUAUCCUUGGAUCAGUCUCAUUUUAAUUAUCAGCCCUCUGAUAUAGAGGAUAUUUUGUAUCAACUUCAUAUCCAACUACCAGUCAACAAGGAACAUAAUCCGCUGUCAAAACUUUGACCUAAUAGAACUAGUUUUCCGAAUAGAUGAGGAUCCAACUAACCUCAGACCUGGCUAACAA